UAGAGCGCAUGUGCUCUUCGGAGUAAAGCUGGCUCCGGCUGGUGCUUUGAGAGAGGCUCGCGUCCUAUCAGCUAGUCGGUGAGGUAACGGCUCACCAAGGCGACGACGGGUAGUUGGUCUGAGAGGACGAUCAGCAACACUGGAACUGAGACACGGUCCAGACACCUACGGGUGGCAGCAGUCGAGAAUCAUUCACAAUGGGGGCAACCCUGAUGGUGCAACGCCGCGUGGAGGAUGAAGGCCCUAGGGUCGUAAACUCCUGUCAUAUGAGAGUAAGACAUAUUAGUUAAUAGCUAGUAUGUUUGAUAGUAUCAUAAGAGGAAGGGACGGCUAACUUCGUGCCAGCAGCCGCGGUAAUACGAAGGUCCCGAGCGUUAUUCGGAAUCACUGGGCGUAAAGGGAGCGUAGGCUGCGUGGUAAGUCAGAUGUGAAAUCUCAGGGCUCAACCCUGAAACUGCAUCCGAUACUGCCACGCUAGAGUAAUGGAGGGGUAACUGGAAUUCUCAGUGUAGCAGUGAAAUGCGUAGAUAUUGAGAGGAAGACCAACGGCGAAGGCAGGUUACUGGACAUUUACUGACGCUGAGGCUCGAAGGCUAGGGUAGCGAAUG
Molecule: ribosomal RNA, 608 nt
Filed under: uncultured cyanobacterium
Lineage: Bacteria; Bacillati; Cyanobacteriota
Description: bacterial SSU rRNA
Rfam family: Bacterial small subunit ribosomal RNA
Source: RNAcentral